GACGAACGCUGGCGGCGUGCUUAACACAUGCAAGUCGAACGGAAAGGCCCUGCUCUUGUGGGGUGCUCGAGUGGCGAACGGGUGAGUAACACGUGAGUAACCUGCCCUUGUCUUUGAGAUAACUUCAGGAAACUGGGGCUAAUACCGGAUAGGAGCUCCUGCUGCAUGGUGGGGGUUGGAAAGUUUCGGCGGUUGGGGAUGGACUCGCGGCUUAUCAGCUUGUUGGUGGAGUAGUGGCUUACCAAGGGUUUGACGGGUAGCCGGCCUGGGCGGGUGACCGGCGUCCUGGGUCCUGAGGUACGCCCCAGACGCCUACCGGAGGCAACGGGGGAAAAUAUGACACAGCAGGGGGGAGCCAGAUACAGCAGCCCCGCGUGCGGGAAGACGGCCUACGGGGUGUAAACCACUUUCGCCGGUGACAUACCGGGAGUGACGGUAAUGAGUAAAGAAGCACCGGCUAACUACGUG
RNAcentral lists this ribosomal RNA (468 nucleotides) under uncultured bacterium. RNAcentral describes it as "partial 16S ribosomal RNA". It matches the Rfam family "Bacterial small subunit ribosomal RNA", at positions 28 to 507 of the family's 1533-position model. The record is from RNAcentral.